Coturnix japonica (Japanese quail) is the source of this 314-nucleotide non-coding RNA. The record is from RefSeq and is a predicted model, not a curated record. NCBI's taxonomy places the organism in Eukaryota, Metazoa, Chordata, Aves, Galliformes, Phasianidae.
CGCACUAUGGCCUGGCUGAAACACCCAGGCUUCAUUCACUUCCAGCCCUGAAUAGCAAACAGUCCCUGGGGUCACUGCACCCAGUCCAGGGCUAGCAGAACAGUGCCAGUUUGACACCUGCCUUUUCCGUGCCACCAUCCCAGCAGACACCUUGAUGCAAGCAGCCAUGUGUACAGCAGGCAUUCUCACCCACUUGGAGAUUACAUCUUCCAGUCUUCUUGUGGCUCUGUUUCAUCAAGAGGUGCUCUUCAACCUCCACAGACUGGGAAGAAAAGAUUGUGGGUCAUCACUGAUCUUCUAUUAAAAUAAUAAAA